AUUGUUCAGAUAGCCAUGCAUGUCUCAGUAUAAGCUUCUAUACGGCGAAACUGCGAAUGGCUCAUUAAAACAGUUAUAGUUUAUUUGGCGGUCAGCAAUUACAUGGAUAACCGUGGUAAUUCUAGAGCUAAUACAUGCGCCCAAACCCGACUUCGUGGAAGGGUAGUGUUUAUUAGAUACAGAACCAACCCAGGCUCCGCCUGGCCUUGAGGUGAUUCAUAAUAACCGAACGAAUCGCAUGGCUAUGCCGGCGAUAGACCAUUCAAGUUUCUGACCUAUCAGCUAUCGUCGGUAGGGUAUUGGCCUACCGUGGCAAUGACGGGUAACGGAGAAUUAGGGUUCGAUUCCGGAGAGGGAGCCUGAGAAACGGCUACCACAUCUAAGGAAGGCAGCAGGCGCGCAAAUUACCCAAUCCUGACGCAGGGAGGUAGUGACAAGAAAUAACAAUACAGGGCAUACAUGUCUUGUAAUUGGAAUGAGUAAACUUUAAAUCACUUUAC
Molecule: ribosomal RNA, 500 nt
Filed under: uncultured dinoflagellate
Lineage: Eukaryota; Dinophyceae
Description: SSU rRNA
Rfam family: Eukaryotic small subunit ribosomal RNA
Source: RNAcentral